CAGGGAUUCCCUUAGUAACGGCGAGCGAAGUGGGAAGAAGCCCAGGUCUGAAAUCUCCCAGCUGGCAAUUGUCACGGUUGGGCGAAUUGUGGUCUGGAGAGGCGGACUGUCCCGAUCCACUGCUUGCGAGCCCGAAGUUGACUUGGAACGGCACGCCAGAGAGGGUGAGAGCCCCGUAGGGCCCGGAAAUCGGAAGCAGCGGGACGAGGGUCCGUACUCGUAGAGUCGGGUUGUUUGGGAAUGCAGCCCCAAGUGGGUGGUAGACUCCAUCCAA
This 274-nucleotide ribosomal RNA is filed under the name Callyspongia tenerrima. RNAcentral describes it as "partial 28S ribosomal RNA". It matches the Rfam family "Eukaryotic large subunit ribosomal RNA", at positions 69 to 313 of the family's 3401-position model. Lineage: Eukaryota; Metazoa; Porifera; Demospongiae; Haplosclerida; Callyspongiidae. The record is from RNAcentral.